GACGAAAUUUGGUGCAUAUCAUUUAUUUGGUUCAUCUCCUUUCUCUUUUCGUAAAUUGCCCUAAACCAACAAUACAAAUGGGUUCCACUUCAAAUUGCCGAACACCCUACUAAUGAUUCGCUUCAAUCGGAUUUAUAUUCAGUACUCAGCAAAGAUUGAGGUGUUAAUGAACUUCAUGGACUGUUACUAAUAUUAAAAACAAUACUACAACUCUCAAUUGCAAUCUUCAAAUAGAUAAAUGAAAACGAAAGAUUCUCCUGCCCUCAAAAUGCUGCUGAACAAAUACGCACCAGCGCUGCAAGUCAAGUUCUAGUGAAAGACAUCAACCAUUCCAGCUGGAACACAUACCUUUUAUGACAAAAUUUACAUGCUGGGGAAGCCCUUUAACACCAGCUGGCCCUGCCUUAUCAACUCGUAUUAGCUUCUCUACAAAACUAGCUAAAAUGACACCCGAUGAACACCCAAUACGUAAUGAUGUUAUGAGGGCACCCCAACACCAGCUGGGCCAUGACCACCCUGAAUUGCUGAACCAUGAUUUUUAUAAGGGUGUCCACCACCUCCGCCAUCCCUUCCUCGAUUGCUAUAGUAAUUCCUUGGAUAAUAGUGUCCAGACUGGUCAUAAUAUUGGCUGCGACCAUUUUGAUAGCCUCCACCUCCUCUACCACCACUCCGACCGCCACGGCCAUUUGAAUAACCUCUGCGGCCCCCACCACGACUGCCUCUGUGGUUUUGGUAGUUCCUUCGAGCAACAUAUUGUUGCUCUUUGAGGUCAACCUCUUUUUGAUCAUGAUCCACUUCUGAUGGUCUAGCUUGUUCCUGUUCAUCAGAGACAACUUCUGCCAGAAUUUCAGUCUCUAGUUCAUCCUGCAAUUGAGAAACCAACCACAUUAGUACAUGCAAGCAAGGAAAAAUGUUAUAGCAUGACAAGUGAUAGCACCUUUUGAAGUUCCUCAGCAGGGCUGGACACAUUAUCACCAGUUUCAUGCCCUAGUAAAUUUUCUGUAUCUUCAUCCUACAGAAAAGAUAAAUUAGACACAUAAAGCUUAGAGGAAACCCGAAUAUGAAGAUUCAACAAACCAAAUAAAUAAUUUCAAAUAAUUUAAAUGUCAUCAGGCAAGAAACUAAAACUGCAUUCAAAUUAUGGAGAAAAAAGAAAAUCGUUGGACCAAAGGUUCCUGAACUGAAAAUCCAAUAAAAAACCACAGACAAGGAGAGAGAUACAAAUUCAAAAAACAAAUCAUGUGAUUUUGCCAAAUGACAAACCACCAAUAUAACAGAAAGGAUUAUAUGAUUGAUUUCUGAAAUUGCAAUCUAAAUCAAAUGACAUCCAAAAGUGAAUUACAUGGCUCAAACAAAUAUAGCAUGACAGGGAAUAUAUCAAUUCUUGAAGUAACAAAGGAUAGCCAACCAAGUUAAAAACAAAUGAAAAGAGUCAUGCAUUAGUCUCUACUCAGUAACCACAGGGAAUGAAAAAUUGAUGCAUGCAUUUGCAAUAUUUAUUUUUCAUACGAAACCAACAGAUUCAGCAUUAGCUCCAAAGAUUUUUCCUAUGAAAAUAAACUUAUGUAGCUUAGGCAAUGUAAACCUUAUAAUCAAGGUUAACUUCAAAACUGAAGAUAUGUAACACUUCAUCAGAUGUAGUAGAGUAAAACAUGAGCAACACCUUAUACCCUCCUAGAGUGUCCUAGCUUAAAAUUUUCAUGCUACUCCUCCUCUCCAACUAAAUGAAACACAAAUGUAGGCUGCUACUCAGAUACAUGAUUGCCUCCCAACACAAAAGGCAUCCACUAUAGAGUUCCUUGGAAAAAGUCCAACAUAAAGAGAAAACAAAUAUAAGAGGCACAUUUUCCCAGAGCAGAUAAAUCCAAUAACAACUUUUUUCAGGGUAUAGAUGCACUUAUCCAAAACCAUGUGCAAAUGACUCUCCACUUAUAAAAAAGAAGGGAUUCCAACAAGUUCAAUAUACAAUGCCCAUGCCCUGUUAAGGCAAACUGAGUUUAUACUCAAUUUAUAAUGAGAAUGAAGAGGAAGGGAAUGCAGAAAUAUUGACAACUAAAACCAGGAAUCAAAUGAAUUGAUGCCACUAUAAGCCAACCAAUACCCAUUAAUACAAUCCAAUGAGCUCUCAAAGAUAAGGAAGAUAUAGACGACAUAAAAAUUUUGGAAGAGGUGAAGUCAGAAGUAGAAGAGAACUGGAAGGACAAAGGCUGCUUUUGGCCCACAGCAAUACAAUUAACUUCCACCACGACACCUCAAAUCAAUGUUAAUAACACAUAAUGCCUCAACAAAUAAAAUGACCUCCUACCCCUCCGAAAAAAGAGGAAGAUGAGCAAGCAAUAACUAAAACUACCACUCAAAGUAAUUGAACUUAAUUUAUCACCAAGAAUUUAAGUUCUUCAAUCAUCCAAGGAAACUUCAAAUAUGUCUAAACAUGAAAAUCCAGUAUUCCAGUGGUAGAGUUGAUCAAGGAAUAUCACUGAAGUUAAACAUGGCCCUCACAAUACCAAGUUAACAAUAUUCCCCAACAUUUGCAGCAGUAAAAACCAAUUCCAAGGCCCAGAUUUUGCCAAAUAUACCAUGAAGUGUAUACUCUCAGCAACAAAUUUUCCCUCGGAAUGUAAUAAAGCAAAACCCUUUU
RNAcentral lists this unclassified non-coding RNA (2638 nucleotides) under Hevea brasiliensis (rubber tree). Lineage: Eukaryota; Viridiplantae; Streptophyta; Magnoliopsida; Malpighiales; Euphorbiaceae. The record is from RNAcentral.